This is a long non-coding RNA of Penaeus indicus, 707 nucleotides long. RefSeq lists it as uncharacterized. Lineage: Eukaryota; Metazoa; Arthropoda; Malacostraca; Decapoda; Penaeidae. The transcript is spliced from 3 exons. The record is from RefSeq and is a predicted model, not a curated record.
GUACAUCAUUCAAAAGUAAUUCCCACCAACUCAAAUCAACCCCUCAAAACACUCAUCGAACAGACACCUCAGCCGAACGAAGCCUAAGCCACUAAGCCACGAGUCCGGACACCGACGUAAGGAACAGGAGACACACAGAAGAGGAGGUUGUCUGUCAUUUUUCGUCGAUUUUUCGUCAUUUUUUCGUCAUUUUUCUCGUUUAUGGCGUCGGUCGUUGAUUAAUUCGUCCCCUCGGUGAAUGGGUAGAAGAGAGAGGAGAGGAAUCCGUGAGAAAAGCAAAGGUUAGAGGUGAAAGAAGAAGAGAAAAGAGAGAAGGAGAUCAUCAUCAUCAGCUGCCAUCUGUCUGUCUGUCUGUCUGUCUUUCUCAGAACAUGAAGGACAACUGACUCCACCGCCUGGAAGGGUCUCGGAAGCCACCCGUCCGUCCCAGCCACCUGUCUUAGUGCCAACGCCUUGGGUCGCCUCCCUCCAUUCGAGGAGCCCACCCCCAAUGCCUAUCUACUCAUCUACAAUGGCCGGCGACGUGUGGGGCCAGUGGUUUGCUUGCUGCAUUACGCAACAGCCGCAGCGUCGACGUCGACGCAUUGAUCGCACCAUGAUUGGGGAGCCAAUGAACUUUGUGCACACUGGCCACAUUGGCUCGGGUGAUGUGCAAAUGGGGAACAACCAGCUGGUGCAACUGCAGACGCAAAUGAAGAGCAAAGGGG